Molecule: ribosomal RNA, 301 nt
Filed under: uncultured bacterium
Lineage: Bacteria
Description: partial 16S ribosomal RNA
Rfam family: Bacterial small subunit ribosomal RNA
Source: RNAcentral
CAGUAGCCGCGGUAAUACGUAGGUCCCGAGCGUUGUCCGGAUUUAUUGGGCGUAAAGCGUGCGCAGGCGGUUAUGUAAGACAGGUGUGAAAUCCCCGGGCUUAACCUGGGAACUGCAUUUGUGACUGGCGAGCUAGAGUAUGGCAGAGGGGGGUAGAAUUCCACGUGUAGCAGUGAAAUGCGUAGAGAUGUGGAGGAAUACCGAAGGCGAAGGCAGCCCCUUGGGAAUGUACUGACGCUCAUGUGCGAAAGCGUGGGGAGCAAACAGGAUUAGAUACCCGAGUAGUCCCUGUCUCUUAUCC